Molecule: unclassified non-coding RNA, 1614 nt
Filed under: Hevea brasiliensis (rubber tree)
Lineage: Eukaryota; Viridiplantae; Streptophyta; Magnoliopsida; Malpighiales; Euphorbiaceae
Source: RNAcentral
GUAAAAUAGUGCAGCAUGUUUCUGAAUAAACAAUAUGUUACAAAAUCACCUUUUAUUCAACAGAACAAAAACUUAAAAAGGAAAAUCUCUCCAUCUAGCAUACAAAAAGAAAUCUAGUGGUUAAAUUUGCUUCAAAACUUUUUCAGCUGCAGCUACAGUCCUUUGAAUAUCCUCUGGAGUGUGUGCUAAGCUAGUAAAUCCAGCCUCAAACUGUGAUGGUGCAAAGUAAACACCUUCCUCCAGCAUCCCUCUAUAGAAUCUGCCAAAUUUUUCUGUAUCACUCUUCUUUGCAUCCGAAAAGUUAUAGAUGGGACCAUCCGCGAAGAAGAAGCCAAACAUCCCCCUUAUGGAGCCACCACACAUUGCAUGACCGGUCUUCUUUCCAGCAUCCAAGAUUCCUUGUGUAAGUUCCGCGGUGAUCUUGUCCAAGUGUUCGUAUGUUCCCUGUCCUUGUAACCGCUUAAGCGUGUGAAUUCCAGCAGUCAUGGCCAAUGGGUUUCCACUUAGGGUGCCAGCUUGAUACAUUGGUCCUGCAGGUGCUACCAUCUCCAUUAUAUCCCGUCUUCCUCCGUAAGCACCUACUGGCAAGCCACCGCCAAUAAUCUUCCCGAGUGUUGUCAAAUCUGGAGUUAUUCCAAAAUACUCUUGAGCACCGCCAUAUGCCAAUCUAAAUCCAGUCAUGACUUCGUCGAAAAUAAGAAGUGCAUCAUUCUCUUUGGUGAUCUUGCGAAUGGCAGCAAGAAAUUCUAGCUUAGGUGGGAUGAAGCCAGCAUUUCCGACUACAGGCUCGAGAAUUACAGCGGCUAUUUCUCCUUUGUGCUCCUCAAAGAGGCUCUCAACAGCAGAAAUGUCAUUGUAAGGUGCGGUCAGAGUAUCGAUAGUAGCUGCCUUUGGAACUCCCGGAGAGUCAGGAAGACCGAGGGUGGCAACGCCACUGCCCGCUUUAACAAGAAAUGGAUCAGCAUGACCAUGGUAACAACCCUCGAAUUUGAUGAUCUUAGGACGGCAAGUGAAAGCACGAGCCAGCCGUAGUACUCCCAUACAUGCUUCUGUACCAGAGUUGACAAAUCGAACCAUUUCUAUGCUUGGAACAGCUGAAAUAACCAUCUCUGCCAGUGUAUUUUCAAGGAGACAUGGAGCACCGAAACUCGUUCCUUUCUUCAUUGUUUCAGCCAAUGCUGCUAGCACCUCAUCAUCCGCAUGACCAAUUAUAGCUGGUCCCCAUGAUCCGACAUAGUCAAUGUACUCGUUACCAUCUAUGUCCCGCAUACGAGAGCCCUUCACGGAGUCAAUAAUGAUAGGUUGUCCGCCAACUGACUUGAAAGCACGGACAGGGGAAUUUACACCUCCUGGCAUCAACUCCUUGGCUUUGCUGAAAGCUUCUUCAGACUUCUCAAGUGUGAAAGUUUUCUUCUUUUCAUCAACUGAGGCUGUCAUUCUAAUGGUUGCAGAAGAAGAAGAAGAUGGGUUGCAUCGACGGUGAGAUGGAGAAAAACCCCAUUUGGGUGUUUGAUUUUUGGUCAAUUUUGAUGGCCAUGAAAGUCCUACACCAUUUACAGCAGCCAUUGUUACCAACUCUUCCUCUUCUCUCUCUCUGAGUAUUCUUGAAUUAGU